UACAGAGGUGGCAAGCGUUGUUCGGAAUUACUGGGCGUAAAGGGCUCGUAGGCGGCCAACUAAGUCAGACGUGAAAUCCCUCGGCUUAACCGGGGAACUGCAUCUGAUACUGGAUGGCUUGAGAUUGGGAGAGGGAUGCGGAAUUCCAGGUGUAGCGGUGAAAUGCGUAGAUAUCUGGAGGAACACCGGUGGCGAAGGCGGCAUCCUGGACCGGCAUUGACGCUGAGGCGCGAAAGCUAGGGGAGCAAACGGG
This 253-nucleotide ribosomal RNA is filed under the name uncultured bacterium. Its description in RNAcentral is "partial 16S ribosomal RNA". It matches the Rfam family "Bacterial small subunit ribosomal RNA", at positions 524 to 776 of the family's 1533-position model. The record is from RNAcentral.